RNAcentral lists this ribosomal RNA (1337 nucleotides) under uncultured bacterium. Its description in RNAcentral is "bacterial SSU rRNA". It matches the Rfam family "Bacterial small subunit ribosomal RNA", at positions 28 to 1381 of the family's 1533-position model. The record is from RNAcentral.
GACGAACGCUGGCGGCGUGCUUAACACAUGCAAGUCGAACGGUAAGGCCCUUCGGGGUACACGAGUGGCGAACGGGUGAGUAACACGUGGGUGAUCUGCCCUGCACUUCGGGAUAAGCCCGGGAAACUGGGUCUAAUACCGGAUAGUACUGCGCGGUGCAUGCCGUGUGGUGGAAAGAUUUAUCGGUGCAGGAUGGGCCCGCGGCCUAUCAGCUUGUUGGUGGGGUAAUGGCCUACCAAGGCGACGACGGGUAGCCGGCCUGAGAGGGCGACCGGCCACACUGGGACUGAGACACGGCCCAGACCCCUACGGGAGGCAGCAGUGGGGAAUAUUGCACAAUGGGCGCAAGCCUGAUGCAGCGACGCCGCGUGAGGGAUGACGGCCUUCGGGUUGUAAACCUCUUUCAGCAGGGACGAAGCGCAAGUGACGGUACCUGCAGAAGAAGCACCGGCCAACUACGUGCCAGCAGCCGCGGUAAUACGUAGGGUGCAGGCGUUGUCCGGAAUUACUGGGGCGUAAGAGCUCGUANGCGGUUUGUCGCGUCGUCUGUGAAAACCAGCAGCUCAACUGUUGGCUUGCAGGCGAUACGGGCAGACUUGAGUAUUUCAGGGGAGACUGGAAUUCCUGGUGUAGCGGUGAAAUGCGCAGAUAUCAGGAGGAACACCGGUGGCGAAGGCGGGUCUCUGGGAAAUAACUGACGCUGAGGAGCGAAAGCGUGGGUAGCGAACAGGAUUAGAUACCCUGGUAGUCCACGCCGUAAACGGUGGGCGCUAGGUGUGGGUUUCCUUCCACGGGAUCCGUGCCGUAGCUAACGCAUUAAGCGCCCCGCCUGGGGAGUACGGCCGCAAGGCUAAAACUCAAAGGAAUUGACGGGGGCCCGCGCAAGCGGCGGAGCAUGUGGAUUAAUUCGAUGCAACGCGAAGAACCUUACCUGGGUUUGACAUACACCGGAAAGCCGUAGAGAUACGGCCCCCCUUGUGGUCGGUGUACAGGUGGUGCAUGGCUGUCGUUAGCUCGUGUCGUGAGAUGUUGGGUUAAGUCCCGCAACGAGCGCAACCCUUGUCCUGUGUUGCCAGCGGAUAAUGCCGGGGACUCGCAGGAGACUGCCGGGGUCAACUCGGAGGAAGGUGGGGACGACGUCAAGUCAUCAUGCCCCUUAUGUCCAGGGCUUCACACAUGCUACAAUGGCCGGUACAGAGGGCUGCGAUACCGUGAGGUGGAGCGAAUCCCUUAAAGCCGGUCUCAGUUCGGAUCGGGGUCUGCAACUCGACCCCGUGAAGUCGGAGUCGCUAGUAAUCGCAGAUCAGCAACGCUGCGGUGAAUACGUUCCCGGGCCU